Molecule: non-coding RNA, 4840 nt
Organism: Lolium perenne
Lineage: Eukaryota; Viridiplantae; Streptophyta; Magnoliopsida; Poales; Poaceae
Source: RefSeq, a predicted model, not a curated record
UGGCUAAAACCUGCCGGUGGAAAGAGAAACUAACAAAAUGGGACUAGUCGCGGGGUAAGAUGAUCUUAGCAGUCAAUCUUUGGAUGGGCCAAUCCUGCAUUACAAGAAAAUAUCUUUUCACGCGGCGACAGAGCAAAGACUCCUCCGGCCCCCUCUCUGAAGCGGAACCCGCCCUGCAGUGCAGAUCCGGCGGGGCUAUUUUCCCCUCUCCUCUCCAGCAAUCAGGCCAUCGCCGGUGUUUCUGCCAGAUAGUGUUUCUGCUUGCUUGUUCAAAUCCGUAGGGUCUAGAAUCUCCUAGGAUUCAGUCGGGCACGGCGGCGCUACUGCGUGCGUAACCGAGGAGGGUUAGGAUUCCGGCCUCUCCUCUCUCUACCUCUCGUCUGGCCUAUAUAGAUCCGACCUCAUCGAUUGGGAGAGGAUCGUAUCGCAUCGCUUCGUUUCGCUUGGGCGAUCUGUCUCGAUGGGAUCCUGGUUCUCUUCCCCUGCCUGCCCACGACAGCGUAUUCAUCGCGUUGGACAACUCAUGGACGAAUUACGUAGUUCAGCCUACAGUAUAGAGUACGUAACCGCCUCCCUCUUUGGAAUCUUUUGUGCUGAAUCUACUAGUAAUCCCUUGUUUUGUGUAAUUUGUUUGUUCGUUAGUUCCUUAGAUGACAUAGUAUCUGGCGGCGCUCACUGGAUCCGUGAUCUCGCCUACGAGGCCCUCAAACACUACAACUCCGACCACCCGGUACCAACUACUGAUCCAUCCACAACUCCUCCUCUUAGCAUCCAUGUGUUGCCGCCCGCCUAGUAAUCCAUGUUUGCCAUCGAUCGACCGAUAUUAUGUGCAGGGUGCCGAGUUCCGAAUUCCUUUUCAGCCCACCGCGGACAUGAAGGCUGCGUGCGUUGGCUUCAGGAGAGAUCUCUGGUACCACCUCAACUUCUUGGCUCGCCACGGGGAUGACGAGCGGACCUUCUUCGCCGAGCUAUGCUACGACAACACCACCUCCCACUGCCUAAUCGUCCAAACAUGUGCCAUCUUGGAGAAGCCCUCUAGAAGCAGCUGCGCAAUGUGUCCGGAAGAAUCCAAGAUUUUACACCCUGAUGAGGCUGAAUUCGUGUGUGGAAAAGAGGGGCACCAGAGGGACUUCUUCUGCGAGAUGUCCUGGGACGGGCACACAAAGGAAUUCUUCAGCCAGAGCGAUAUGCUAAGCACGCCAUUCUUGAUAGGAGCACCAGCGCCUCGAUAUAGACUGCUGCCCGACGAUUCACCAUGAUUUAUGUAUCAUCAAUAAUCCUUGGUUAAUUUCCUGGAUCGUUACCGCUGGCUAUACAAGUGUGGUUUUGACACUAAUUCCUUGCUUGCCUUUUGGUGACCUUUAUUUGAUAGCAAAAAUUUGCAAACUGUACAUGCCUUAAACUGCUCUGUUUUCCAGUAUAAUUGCAAAUUCCUUUUGCUAUUCUUUGUUGGGAACUGCGCAUUCUGUUAUGUUUUCUUCUUCCAAUCCUUGAUUUAUCCUGGGUUGUCAAGUGUAUCUUCUUUUUUGCAUGUUCUUGUACUUUUGAUUGUGGUAGAAAGUCCCAGUAUUGCGUAGUUAUGAGAAAAUAAACUGCAGAAAUGUUCUCUAGUCAGUUGUGAGAGUGUUGGGCAAGAUAUAAUCUUUUUUUAACGUCAACUAACAACCACAUGCAAGAGUAGUAUUCAUUGUGAAUGUUAUAUGAUGAAAGAUAAGAUAUGAGUGUGGAUUACUUCCGAGAUGAACAGUAUAACUCUAGAACCCAUGGUACCCUAUCAUUUCAAUAAUUAUGGUUAUUCACUUGCACUCUUAAAACCUUUUCUAUUUUCAGGUCAGUGUGAUCCUCUGCCACCAACAUUGCUUUGCUUAUCCCUUGUAUGGUGUAUUUUUUUUCGUCAACGUGUUUUGGAUUUUGAUUUCUUUAAGCUGUAGCUGCUAAAUUAUGAUAUGUUGUAAGUUUCAUCAUUUCACUAUUCAACAAAUGAUUCUUUAAUUUCUAUGAUAUAUGAUUUCUCCCUUUGUGCAACCUAUCUCAGGGUUUCACUAAUGUGGCUGACAUUGCCGGAGGAUUUUCUUUGCUGUUUAUCAACCAUCAGAGGCCAAGUUUUCUGAUUUUUCCUUAAUCAUUCCAUGGUUGAACAUUAUGGUGUUUUUGGCCUUGAGAAGCCACAGUAUUUAAUGCACAUGUAGGUUGGAAGACAAGUGGAAGCUUGAGAGAUGAGGAGGUUAUGCUUAACCCUUCUUCCUUUUCAAUGGGAUCUGUGGUAAAUGUGAGCAUGAAAGAAAUCAAGUAGUAUUAGUAAAAUAAGUGUUGAAGAAAAGAAUAUCCCUUUUUGAUGUAAAAAAAUUGCUUUCCAAUAAUAGCAGCGGACCAGCGGUGUGUCUUAUGUUUAGAUAGAGAUGCAAGUGGGUCACUAUUAGGGUACCCUCUUCCCUUUUUCGUUCAAAAUGAUGAUGUCAUCGAAAAGGUUAGUUCUUUUCCUUGAACUAGAGAGUGUAGAGGGUACACCAAACAAUUUGUAAUUUACAAAAAUGAUUUAUUGUUUAUAAGCAGACUUUGUAUUGAAUUUAGACAAACCUCCGACAUUUUUUUAUGGACGGAGGGAGUAGUAUAGAUAGAUAGGGAUCUGAAUUAAGAAUUGACAUGACGAAUUGAAAGAGACAUAUCAACAGUUGGGUUUCAGUCACCGUGCACGGAUCUGUACGUUCCCCAAGAAAACAAGGGGAUCUCUACCGAAAAAAAUGUGCCACCAAUUGCAACUAGAAGUAGUAAAACUGCAUGCAUAUAUUUCCCUAAAAAAAAUGCAUGCAUAUAUGCAUUUGGUUACUCACUAAACAUCGCUACAUCAUCAUCAUGCCAAAACAUCAUAUUGUCUUGCAGAGUAGCUAUGCGGUGUUGUCGUGCUGGUGCUGCACCUCUGUGCGGUGUUGUGUUAGUAGCUCCGUAGUUUUUAAAUCUGUUUUAAUUUGAUACUGGUAUCCAUGAUUUAGGCUUGAAUGCUAACUCCUACUUUUUGUAUGAAUUUGUGAUCCUAGGAUCGUUUCCUGUAGGAAGUUUGCAGGUUUCUCUCUAGAUGAGACUCCAUGAAGACUUUCGCUUUGCUUUGGAAACUGUGUGUUCUCUUACUUUAGCUCUGCUGUUACCUAUUAGUAGCAGCUCCUGUGGCUAAAAGCUCCUAUCUCUAGAAUUGAGUUAAUAACACCCCAGGUACACUAACUUGUCUUUGAUGUGCACUUUCAUACACAAACUUGCAAGUUGUGGCACACAGGUACACUAACUUGAUUUUCGGGUGAAGUUUUAGUCCAUUAUCGAUACCUUUAUGCCACAUAGAUAAUUGACACAUUGUCGUUACUUUGCUGAUACCCCUCUGACGUUGUGGUGAUUAGAGGAGCAGUUAUCCCGUGAGAUUGUGUGGAAUAGUAGGAAACAACUCUAAUUUUUUCCUAAAUUACCUCUCUUUGUCAUCUCCUUCCCAGAAAAAGCUCGAACCGAGCAGUUCCCUUGAGGUAUCGACACGGGAUUACGUCCUCGACGCAGAGCACAUCGCCGCCGCCGCCGACACAAUGCGUCCGGACACGCAGCUCCGGCCAUUAGACCAGAAGGAGGCGCCAGACUAUGGAGCUAAUGGUAACUUGUUCUCGGUUGAACUAGAGCACAAUGUUUUUUUUUUGUUUUUUGUGGAAAAGGAGCUGGCUUGACAUACGUUCAGCCAUCUAUUGCAUAUAUAGAUUAUUGCAAUACAGAGACCUGGUCUCUACUUUGGAUAGAAGACAUUCUGCAACAACUAGGGUAUGAAAGGGAUGGUAAGUUACAUGUGUACUGGAGCCCACCAGGGAAAGAAAUUUGUGAGGGCUUACUUCGCAUUGAGAGAGAUGCAGACAUAUUGGAAAUGAUAAAAGCUACAGAGAACCACAAAACAUUGGUUUUGUUGGUUGACCAUACAAAUUUUCUGAAGAACUUGAGAGUGGAGGCUAUAAUUAACAGAGGGCCCAGCUCUACCAUCUAGUCCAAGGAUGUGACCUAGCACAUGUGUAGGUGAAGACGCAUCAGGUGCACACAAGGGCUCCUCAAGCAAAUCGGUGCAAAAUGAUUUUGACAGUUUCUACAAUGAAUAUUGUCAAGAAGAAUCUGAAGACACCGAUGAUUCUGAUUUUGUGGACAGUGACUUUGAAGUAGAAGAUGGGGAUGAUGACCUUUUGAGGGACAAGGGACAAUGUAGGUACAGAGGUGAAUGACAACAAUGAAACAGUACAAAUGCAAGAUUUAGAGGAUGAUUAUGCACUGGAGGAUGCUGAUUUGAACCUGAGGAAAAGAACAAGGGAAGUUGAAGUACAAGUUUGGAACAUUUAAUCCUCAAGUUGAUAUGGACAGUCCUAUUUGAGCCUGAGCAAGCACGGGUAGAGGCAGGGGCACAAGGAAAAGGAGAUCAGAUGCUACCACCUCAAGCAUUGCAAACAGGGGUAGAGGGAGAGCAAGAGCACCAGCAACUAAUAACACAAGCAUUGGUACUUGUAUUGGCAGUUCGGAGAUGCUGAGCAGCAAAGAACUUCAGUUCCAGAUCUGAAUGCAGCAGCUGUACCAGACCUCAAUGCACCAGAUCAUCAUGGAGAAGGGGAAGCAAUCUCUCUGACUCAAAAUGCACCAAAUCCAGAUGUUGCAUAGUUCGGUGUAGUACCACUAUGUUUUCCUGUUUUUAUCUCAACUAGUUGGAACAAUUAGUUUGAAUGAACCUCUAGUUACAGUGAACUACAUGUACUGGUUAUUCUGCACCAUAUGCUCUAUUUUGCAUACACUGCUCAAUCUUCCAUUUAAUACAAGAUUGAUAUUUAUCUUCUUCUAA